CGCACAUUGCGCCCUUUGGCAUUCCGAAGGGCAUGCCUGUUCGAGCGUCAUUUACCCCCCUCAGGCCCCGUGCUUGAUGCUGGCGGCGUCCGGAGACGGACCUGCUCAAAGACAAUGACGGCGGUCGUGGUCCCCCCGGCACACUGAGCUUUCGGGCACGUGUCGGAUCUGGUGGCUCGGCCCCCGGUCCCUAAUAUCAAUUUAUCAAGGUUGACCUCGGAUCAGGUAGGAAUACGCGCUGAACUUAA
This 248-nucleotide unclassified non-coding RNA is filed under the name Cladophialophora exuberans. RNAcentral's name for it is "partial contains 5.8S ribosomal RNA, internal transcribed spacer 2, and large subunit ribosomal RNA". The record is from RNAcentral. Lineage: Eukaryota; Fungi; Ascomycota; Eurotiomycetes; Chaetothyriales; Herpotrichiellaceae.